Molecule: ribosomal RNA, 554 nt
Filed under: uncultured archaeon
Lineage: Archaea
Description: bacterial SSU rRNA
Rfam family: Archaeal small subunit ribosomal RNA
Source: RNAcentral
UCCGUAACACGUAGUUAAUCUACCCUUAGGACUGGAAUAACCCCGGGAAACUGGGGCUAAUACCUACUAGGCGAGAAUGUCUGGAAUGACUUUUCACUGAAAGAGUUCUAGGAACAUGCUCCUUUAACUGCCUAAGGAUGAGACUGCGACCGAUCAGGUUGUUGGUGGGGUAACGGCCUACCAAGCCUAUAACCGGUACGGGCCCUGAGAGGGGGAGCCCGGAGAUGGGAACUGAGACAAGGUCCCAGACCCUACGGGGUGCAGCAGUUGCGAAAACUCUACAAUGCACGAAAGUGUGAUAGGGUUAUCCCGAGUGCUGUCCGAUGAGGAUGGCUUUUCCUCGGUGUAAGGAGCCGAGGGAAUAAAGGGGGGGCAAGACUGGUGUCAGCCGCCGCGGUAAUACCAGCCCCCUGAGUGGUAGGGAUGAUUAUUUGGCCUAAAGCGUCCGUAGCCGGCUUAGCCAGUCUUUCGUGAAAUCCAGUGACUUAAUCAUUGGGCGUGCGAGAGAUACUACUAGGCGUGAGGACGGGAGAGGUCGACGGUAUUUCGGGGGU